GAAAUGCGAUAAGUAGUGUGAAUUGCAGAAUUCAGUGAAUCAUCGAAUCUUGGAACGCACAUUGCGCCCCUUGGUAUUCCAUGGGGCAUGCCUGUUCGAGCGUCAUUUGUACCCUCAAGCUCUGCUUGGUGUUGGGUGUUUGUCCCCGUCUCCGCGCGUGGACUCGCCCCAAAGUGAUUGGCAGCCGGCGUACUGGUCCCGGAGCGCAGCACAUGUCGCGCAAACGAGUGCCUUGGUACGGCGGCGUCCAUAAGCCCCUCUCUCACGCUCUUGACCUCGGAUCAGGUAGGGAUACCCGCUGAACUUAAGC
RNAcentral lists this unclassified non-coding RNA (310 nucleotides) under plant metagenome. RNAcentral's name for it is "partial contains 5.8S ribosomal RNA, internal transcribed spacer 2, and large subunit ribosomal RNA". The stretch from base 1 to 105 matches the Rfam family "5.8S ribosomal RNA", at positions 50 to 154 of the family's 154-position model. The record is from RNAcentral.